Molecule: ribosomal RNA, 116 nt
Filed under: Marinobacterium marinum
Lineage: Bacteria; Pseudomonadati; Pseudomonadota; Gammaproteobacteria; Oceanospirillales; Oceanospirillaceae
Source: RNAcentral
CUUGGCGACAAUAGAGCCGUGGAACCACCUGAUCCCAUACCGAACUCAGCAGUGAAACGCGGCAUCGCCGAUGGUAGUGUGGGGCUUCCCCAUGUGAGAGUAGGUCAUCGCCAAGC